UUGACCUCAAUCAGUGGACUACCGCUG
This 27-nucleotide ribosomal RNA is filed under the name Melanoleuca iris. RNAcentral describes it as "partial 28S ribosomal RNA". Lineage: Eukaryota; Fungi; Basidiomycota; Agaricomycetes; Agaricales; Pluteaceae. The record is from RNAcentral.